RNAcentral lists this ribosomal RNA (252 nucleotides) under uncultured bacterium. RNAcentral describes it as "partial 16S ribosomal RNA". It matches the Rfam family "Bacterial small subunit ribosomal RNA", at positions 524 to 776 of the family's 1533-position model. The record is from RNAcentral.
UACGGAGGAUGCGAGCGUUAUCCGGAUUUAUUGGGUUUAAAGGGUGCGUAGGCGGACGCUUAAGUCAGGGGUAAAAUUGCGGGGCUCAACCUCGUCGAGCCGUUGAAACUGGGUGCCUUGAGUGGGCGAGAAGUACGCGGAAUGCGUGGUGUAGCGGUGAAAUGCAUAGAUAUCACGCAGAACUCCGAUUGCGAAGGCAGCGUACCGGCGCCCAACUGACGCUGAAGCACGAAGGCGUGGGUAUCGAACAGG